GCAAGCCUGAUGCAUGCCAUGCCGCGUGUAUGAAGAAGGCCUUCGGGUUGUAAAGUACUUUCAGCGAGGAGGAAAGGGAGUAGGUUAAUAACCUGCUUCUGUGACGUUACUCGCAGAAGAAGGACCGGCUAACUCCGUGCCAGCAGCCGCGGUAAUACGGAGGGUCCGAGCGUUAAUCGGAAUUACUGGGCGUAAAGCGUACGCAGGCGGUUUGUUAAGCGAGAUGUGAAAGCCCCGGGCUCAACCUGGGAACUGCAUUUCGAACUGACAAACUAGAGUUUUGUAGAGGGUGGUAGAAUUUCAGGUGUAGCGGUGAAAUGCGUAGAGAUCUGAAGGAAUACCAGUGGCGAAGGCGGCCACCUGGACAAUAACUGACGCUCAUGUACGAAAGCGUGGGGAGCAUACGGAUUAGAUACCCGGUAGUCCACGCCGUAAACGAUGUCAUACCAUGUGCUGGAGUCCUGGUGCGACUUAUUGAUAGCUAACGCAUGGAGUCGACCGCCAAGUGAGUAUGAGGCAACUUUAAAACUCACGAUAAUU
RNAcentral lists this ribosomal RNA (540 nucleotides) under uncultured bacterium. RNAcentral describes it as "bacterial SSU rRNA". It matches the Rfam family "Bacterial small subunit ribosomal RNA", at positions 377 to 911 of the family's 1533-position model. The record is from RNAcentral.